GAUGAACGCUCGCUACAGGCUUAACACAUGCAAGUCGAGGGGCAGCAUGGUCUUAGCUUGCUAAGGCCGAUGGCGACCGGCGCACGGGUGAGUAACACGUAUCCAACCUGCCGUCUACUCUUGGACAGCCUUCUGAAAGGAAGAUUAAUACAAGAUGGCAUCAUGAGUCCGCAUGUUCACAUGAUUAAAGGUAUUCCGGUAGACGAUGGGGAUGCGUUCCAUUAGAUAGUAGGCGGGGUAACGGCCCACCUAGUCUUCGAUGGAUAGGGGUUCUGAGAGGAAGGUCCCCCACAUUGGAACUGAGACACGGUCCAAAAUGCUACGGGAGGCAGCAGUGAGGAAGAGUGGGCAAGGGGCGCAGGCCUGAACCAGCCAAGUAGCGUGAAGGAGGACUGCCCUAUGGGUUGUAAACUUCUUUUAUAAAGGAAUAAAGUCGGGUAUGUAUACCCGGUUGAAUGUACUUUAUGAAUAAGGAUCGGCUAACUCCGUG
This 490-nucleotide ribosomal RNA is filed under the name uncultured bacterium. RNAcentral's name for it is "partial 16S ribosomal RNA". It matches the Rfam family "Bacterial small subunit ribosomal RNA", at positions 28 to 507 of the family's 1533-position model. The record is from RNAcentral.